GGAGGGUUAGGGCUAGGGAUUAUGUUAGGUUUUGGUUUAAAUUAAGAUUAGCUUUAAGGUGAGGGUUUAGGCUUGGCUUAUGGGUAGUGCUAUCUUUGGUUGGGGUUAGGGUUACUGUUAGCAUUAGGUUAGGGCUAGAGCUAAGGUUAGGUUUAUUAUGAAGUUUAUUGUUAAUGUAAGAGUUAGUGUUAGGUCUAGGUCCAGGGUUAGGCAUAACCAUUAGGGUUAGGCUUUUACUUCAGCCAAGGAUUAGGACCAGAGCUAGACCUAAGGUUAGUAUUAGAUUUAGGGUCAGUGUUAGACUAGCUAGCUUAACUAGUUAAACUAGUUUUAGGGUUAGUAUGAGAGCUAUGGUUUUUGCUUUUGUUUCUGUUUAAUAUAAUUAAAUUUAUUGAUAUGUUUUGGAUAUACACUAAGAUCAUAUUUGUCAUAGGACAUUUCUGACUGUACAUGGUAUAUUUUGAUUUCUCUGCUUUUCCCCAAUCCCUUUCCCUCCCUUCAAUCCAUUUUCCCCUCCCUCUUUACAAAGCUUUGUUUCUAUUUGAUCUUUUUAAAUAGUUAUUUUCCUUUUUUCCUUUCCCACUUUCCCCACCUAGUUGUUCUUUCCUUUUCAACAAUUUCUUCCAUUGCUCAACAUCUAUUGUUCAUUUUGGUCCUUAUUUCCUCCUUCAGUUUCUCACACUAUGAGAUAUUUACACAUUUACAUCUGAUUUAUUUCACAGGAGAAACAGCCUCGGAGCACAUGUGAAACUGUCUCCCAAAUAAGCAGUCGUGCUAUUUCUUGAUCACUUCCAGCCUCCCCACGUAAAGCAGCUUUACACAGUGUUGGUGGCUGGUUGUGCCAGAGCCAGUGCUCCACACGCUCCCUUCCACAACAGUGUCCCAUGAAAAGAGGAGGCGCUCAGCCUUAAAAUGAAGGCAGUCAUGGAGCACUGCUAUGCUUUGUGUCUAGAUGUCCCUCAAAGCCUCCUGCAGUCAUGGGUGCUACUGAAGACGGCUAGGGAAAGGGCUCAGGCUUCCAGCCUGGAUCAAGCUCCAUGGAGCACCCACGUUGGGUCCAGUGGCAGCCCACGCAGCCCACCUCAGGCCAUGGAUUCCACUCACCUCCUGGCUCACUUGGAAAAUGACCUGCGAGACAGUGAAGUGACUCGUCUAUCCUGUGCCUUGGAUGGUUUGGGACAAUGUGGUUCUGUCCCCUAGUAGGGAAAAUGACUUCAAGGUUUGAUCCUAGAAUUGAUCUAACAAGAGCUCAAGGGACAAAGACACAAGGAAUGUGGAAACUCAACCAGACAUUUUUCAGAGGGGAACAGAACAGAAUGGGCUGUGAUAGCGACACAGCCAGGCGUCAGAGAGACUGAGCCCUUACGUCAGGCCACUUACUCCUCAGCACUCAGCCCCAGCUAUUCCUGAAUCCUGAGCCCGCAGAGUCUCAGGGCUGUCCUGGGACCUGGAGGUGUGCUGAGCCAUCCUCCCAUGAAAUGCAGAGGACCAUAGAACCCAUGCCCCACUUCAUACGCUGCUGUGUGAAUGUUUCUGGUGGAGGGGAGCUCAUUUCCCGUGGACCCAAGGUCAAGAAAUGUGGCAUUGCCAAAAAUGUACCUAAGGUAGGAGUCCAUAUAGCUGCACUGUGGACAUCUGUGGAGCAUUCUAAUUGUUAUAAAGGUCUUCCUGAAAACUUUCUCUAAGUCAUCAUCUGUUUCCACAUUCUGUUUCCAGGACACCAAGCCUACUGUACUCCUCCACAGAACUGUGCCAAAUACCUGACGAUCUGCUGUACAGAACAGGUCUGUAUGGCAGAAAGGCUGUCGGUGGCCUCUCAUUGCAAGACCUCGGGAGGGGAAGCAGAGGUGCACCUGAGACUGGCCUGCUUCUCACCUCUGCUGGCCCAUCAGUGAAAUUGCAGUUUUGCCUCGAGUCACUAGGUGCCACUAGCGCUGCACCUGGCAGAUACUACUUGUGUGAGUGCUGAGCAUGAGGUCCCUUUGAAAAGGAAAGCCCAGUACACUUUGAACACCAAGUUUCACUUAAAUUGUUUCACUAUCACACUGAUGAACAUUGUACAAACACCAACAGUAAUGUAACACCUUAUGCUUAUCUCAAGAGAGUAAACUUUAAAGACAAAAAUUAAAACAGAG
Chinchilla lanigera (long-tailed chinchilla) is the source of this 2135-nucleotide long non-coding RNA. Lineage: Eukaryota; Metazoa; Chordata; Mammalia; Rodentia; Chinchillidae. The record is from Ensembl.